UCCCUGGUGGCUCAGAUAGUAAAGAAUCUGCCUGAAAUGCAGAAGACCUGGGUUCGAUCCCUGGGUCAGAGAG
Ovis aries (sheep) is the source of this 73-nucleotide non-coding RNA. NCBI's taxonomy places the organism in Eukaryota, Metazoa, Chordata, Mammalia, Artiodactyla, Bovidae. The record is from Rfam.